This 441-nucleotide ribosomal RNA is filed under the name uncultured bacterium. RNAcentral describes it as "SSU rRNA". It matches the Rfam family "Bacterial small subunit ribosomal RNA", at positions 26 to 518 of the family's 1533-position model. The record is from RNAcentral.
AGAGCGAACGCUGGCGGCAGGCCUAACACAUGCAAGUCGAACGCCCAGCAAUGGGAGUGGCAGACGGGAUAGUAACACGUGGGAACGCGCCCUUCGGUUCGGAAUAACUCAGGGAAACUUGAGCUAAAUACCGGAUACGCCCUUACGGGGAAAGAUUUAUUGCCGAAGGAACGGCCCGCGUCGGAUUAGCUAGUUGGUGAGGUAAUGGCUCACCAAGGCGACGAUCCGUAGCUGGUCUGAGAGGAUGACCAGCAUCACUGGGACUGAGACACGGCCCAGACUCCUACGGGAGGCAGCAGUGGGGAAUAUUGGACAAUGGGCGCAAGCCUGAUCCAGCCAUGCCGCGUGGAUGAUGAAGGCCCUAGGGUUGUAAAGUCCUUUAACGGGAGAUAAUGACGGUACCGUAGAAUAAGCCCCGGCUAACUUCGUGCCAGCAGCCGC